AUUGAACGCUGGCGGCAUGCCUUACACAUGCAAGUCGAACGGCAGCACGGGUGCUUGCACCUGGUGGCGAGUGGCGAACGGGUGAGUAAUACAUCGGAACAUGUCCUGUAGUGGGGGAUAGCCCGGCGAAAGCCGGAUUAAUACCGCAUACGAUCUACGGAUGAAAGCGGGGGACCUUCGGGCCUCGCGCUAUAGGGUUGGCCGAUGGCUGAUUAGCUAGUUGGUGGGGUAAAGGCCUACCAAGGCGACGAUCAGUAGCUGGUCUGAGAGGACGACCAGCCACACUGGGACUGAGACACGCCCCAGACUCCUACGGGAGGGCGGAGUGGGGAUUUUUGGACAAGGGGCGAAAGCCUGACCCAACAAGGCGGGGUGUGUGAAGAAGGCCUUGGGGUUGUAAAGCUCUUUGGUCGGAAAAGAAAUCCUUGCCCCUAAAGCGGUGGGGGGAGGACGUUACGGAAAAAAAAACCCCCGGCUAACUACGUC
Molecule: ribosomal RNA, 486 nt
Filed under: uncultured bacterium
Lineage: Bacteria
Description: partial 16S ribosomal RNA
Rfam family: Bacterial small subunit ribosomal RNA
Source: RNAcentral